GGGUUGUGAGGUUAAGCGACUAAGCGUACACGGUGGAUGCCCUGGCAGUCAGAGGCGAUGAAGGACGUGCUAAUCUGCGAUAAGCGUCGGUAAGGUGAUAUGAACCGUUAUAACCGGCGAUUUCCGAAUGGGGAAACCCAGUGUGUUUCGACACACUAUCAUUAACUGAAUCCAUAGGUUAAUGAGGCGAACCGGGGGAACUGAAACAUCUAAGUACCCCGAGGAAAAGAAAUCAACCGAGAUUCCCCCAGUAGCGGCGAGCGAACGGGGAGCAGCCCAGAGCCUGAAUCAGUAUGUGUGUUAGUGGAAGCGUCUGGAAAGGCGCGCGAUACAGGGUGACAGCCCCGUACACAAAAAUGCACAUGCUGUGAGCUCGAUGAGUAGGGCGGGACACGUGGUAUCCUGUCUGAAUAUGGGGGGACCAUCCUCCAAGGCUAAAUACUCCUGACUGACCGAUAGUGAACCAGUACCGUGAGGGAAAGGCGAAAAGAACCCCGGCGAGGGGAGUGAAAAAGAACCUGAAACCGUGUACGUACAAGCAGUGGGAGCACGCUUAGGCGUGUGACUGCGUACCUUUUGUAUAAUGGGUCAGCGACUUAUAUUCUGUAGCAAGGUUAACCGAAUAGGGGAGCCGAAGGGAAACCGAGUCUUAACUGGGCGUUAAGUUGCAGGGUAUAGACCCGAAACCCGGUGAUCUAGCCAUGGGCAGGUUGAAGGUUGGGUAACACUAACUGGAGGACCGAACCGACUAAUGUUGAAAAAUUAGCGGAUGACUUGUGGCUGGGGGUGAAAGGCCAAUCAAACCGGGAGAUAGCUGGUUCUCCCCGAAAGCUAUUUAGGUAGCGCCUCGUGAAUUCAUCUCCGGGGGUAGAGCACUGUUUCGGCAAGGGGGUCAUCCCGACUUACCAACCCGAUGCAAACUGCGAAUACCGGAGAAUGUUAUCACGGGAGACACACGGCGGGUGCUAACGUCCGUCGUGAAGAGGGAAACAACCCAGACCGCCAGCUAAGGUCCCAAAGUCAUGGUUAAGUGGGAAACGAUGUGGGAAGGCCCAGACAGCCAGGAUGUUGGCUUAGAAGCAGCCAUCAUUUAAAGAAAGCGUAAUAGCUCACUGGUCGAGUCGGCCUGCGCGGAAGAUGUAACGGGGCUAAACCAUGCACCGAAGCUGCGGCAGCGACGCUGAUGCGUUGUUGGGUAGGGGAGCGUUCUGUAAGCCUGCGAAGGUGUGCUGUGAGGCAUGCUGGAGGUAUCAGAAGUGCGAAUGCUGACAUAAGUAACGAUAAAGCGGGUGAAAAGCCCGCUCGCCGGAAGACCAAGGGUUCCUGUCCAACGUUAAUCGGGGCAGGGUGAGUCGACCCCUAAGGCGAGGCCGAAAGGCGUAGUCGAUGGGAAACAGGUUAAUAUUCCUGUACUUGGUGUUACUGCGAAGGGGGGACGGAGAAGGCUAUGUUGGCCGGGCGACGGUUGUCCCGGUUUAAGCGUGUAGGCUGGUUUUCCAGGCAAAUCCGGAAAAUCAAGGCUGAGGCGUGAUGACGAGGCACUACGGUGCUGAAGCAACAAAUGCCCUGCUUCCAGGAAAAGCCUCUAAGCAUCAGGUAACAUCAAAUCGUACCCCAAACCGACACAGGUGGUCAGGUAGAGAAUACCAAGGCGCUUGAGAGAACUCGGGUGAAGGAACUAGGCAAAAUGGUGCCGUAACUUCGGGAGAAGGCACGCUGAUAUGUAGGUGAAGUCCCUCGCGGAUGGAGCUGAAAUCAGUCGAAGAUACCAGCUGGCUGCAACUGUUUAUUAAAAACACAGCACUGUGCAAACACGAAAGUGGACGUAUACGGUGUGACGCCUGCCCGGUGCCGGAAGGUUAAUUGAUGGGGUUAGCGCAAGCGAAGCUCUUGAUCGAAGCCCCGGUAAACGGCGGCCGUAACUAUAACGGUCCUAAGGUAGCGAAAUUCCUUGUCGGGUAAGUUCCGACCUGCACGAAUGGCGUAAUGAUGGCCAGGCUGUCUCCACCCGAGACUCAGUGAAAUUGAACUCGCUGUGAAGAUGCAGUGUACCCGCGGCAAGACGGAAAGACCCCGUGAACCUUUACUAUAGCUUGACACUGAACAUUGAGCCUUGAUGUGUAGGAUAGGUGGGAGGCUUUGAAGUGUGGACGCCAGUCUGCAUGGAGCCGACCUUGAAAUACCACCCUUUAAUGUUUGAUGUUCUAACGUUGACCCGUAAUCCGGGUUGCGGACAGUGUCUGGUGGGUAGUUUGACUGGGGCGGUCUCCUCCUAAAGAGUAACGGAGGAGCACGAAGGUUGGCUAAUCCUGGUCGGACAUCAGGAGGUUAGUGCAAUGGCAUAAGCCAGCUUGACUGCGAGCGUGACGGCGCGAGCAGGUGCGAAAGCAGGUCAUAGUGAUCCGGUGGUUCUGAAUGGAAGGGCCAUCGCUCAACGGAUAAAAGGUACUCCGGGGAUAACAGGCUGAUACCGCCCAAGAGUUCAUAUCGACGGCGGUGUUUGGCACCUCGAUGUCGGCUCAUCACAUCCUGGGGCUGAAGUAGGUCCCAAGGGUAUGGCUGUUCGCCAUUUAAAGUGGUACGCGAGCUGGGUUUAGAACGUCGUGAGACAGUUCGGUCCCUAUCUGCCGUGGGCGCUGGAGAACUGAGGGGGGCUGCUCCUAGUACGAGAGGACCGGAGUGGACGCAUCACUGGUGUUCGGGUUGUCAUGCCAAUGGCACUGCCCGGUAGCUAAAUGCGGAAGAGAUAAGUGCUGAAAGCAUCUAAGCACGAAACUUGCCCCGAGAUGAGUUCUCCCUGAC
This 2802-nucleotide ribosomal RNA is filed under the name Escherichia coli. Its description in RNAcentral is "bacterial LSU rRNA". It matches the Rfam family "Bacterial large subunit ribosomal RNA". The record is from RNAcentral. Lineage: Bacteria; Pseudomonadati; Pseudomonadota; Gammaproteobacteria; Enterobacterales; Enterobacteriaceae.